RNAcentral lists this ribosomal RNA (427 nucleotides) under uncultured Bacillus sp. RNAcentral's name for it is "bacterial SSU rRNA". It matches the Rfam family "Bacterial small subunit ribosomal RNA", at positions 355 to 774 of the family's 1533-position model. The record is from RNAcentral. Lineage: Bacteria; Bacillati; Bacillota; Bacilli; Caryophanales; Bacillaceae.
UAGGGAAUCUUCCGCAAUGGACGAAAGUCUGACGGAGCAACGCCGCGUGAGCGAUGAAGGCCUUCGGGUCGUAAAGCUCUGUUGUUAGGGAAGAACAAGUACCGGAGUAACUGCCGGUACCUUGACGGUACCUAACCAGAAAGCCACGGCUAACUACGUGCCAGCAGCCGCGGUAAUACGUAGGUGGCAAGCGUUGUCCGGAAUUAUCGGGCGUAAAGCGCGCGCAGGCGGUCCUUUAAGUCUGAUGUGAAAGCCCACGGCUCAACCGUGGAGGGUCAUUGGAAACUGGGGGACUUGAGUGCAGAAGAGGAAAGCGGAAUUCCACGUGUAGCGGUGAAAUGCGUAGAGAUGUGGAGGAACACCAGUGGCGAAGGCGGCUUUCUGGUCUGUAACUGACGCUGAGGCGCGAAAGCGUGGGGAGCAAACA